RNAcentral lists this ribosomal RNA (429 nucleotides) under Acidobacteriota bacterium. Its description in RNAcentral is "Acidobacteria bacterium partial 16S ribosomal RNA". It matches the Rfam family "Bacterial small subunit ribosomal RNA", at positions 355 to 776 of the family's 1533-position model. The record is from RNAcentral. Lineage: Bacteria; Pseudomonadati; Acidobacteriota.
UGGGGAAUUUUGGACAAUGGGGGAAACCCUGAUCCAGCCAUCCCGCGUGUGCGAUGAAGGCCUUCGGGUUGUAAAGCACUUUUGGCAGGAAAGAAACGUCAUGGGUUAAUACCCCGUGAAACUGACGGUACCUGCAGAAUAAGCACCGGCUAACUACGUGCCAGCAGCCGCGGUAAUACGUAGGGUGCAAGCGUUAAUCGGAAUUACUGGGCGUAAAGCGUGCGCAGGCGGUUCGGAAAGAAAGAUGUGAAAUCCCAGGGCUCAACUUUGGAACUGCAUUUUUAACUACCGGGCUAGGGUGUGUCAGAGGGAGGUGGAAUUCCGCGGGUAGCAGUGAAAUGCGUAGAUAUGCGGAGGAACACCGAUGGCGAAGGCAGCCUCCUGGGAUAACACUGACGCUCAUGCACGAAAGCGUGGGAAGCAAACAGG